Molecule: long non-coding RNA, 506 nt
Organism: Protopterus annectens (West African lungfish)
Lineage: Eukaryota; Metazoa; Chordata; Ceratodontiformes; Protopteridae
Exons: 4
Source: RefSeq, a predicted model, not a curated record
UACUUUUUUUUUCUCUUUCCAUUAUAUCCAGCUUGUAGCACAAGUAAAUUCAAGUAACUAUUACCUGAAACACACCUUCAUGGAAUUGUAGGAACAGCAACCUGAAACAAAAGAAACUACCCUCCUGCUCCCUGAGAGGCCCGUGUUAUUAACACAGUGAAACUUGUAGCACAAGUAAAUUCAAGUAACUAUUACCUGAAACACACCUUCAUGGAAUUGUAGGAACAGCAACCUGAAACAAAAGAAACUACCCUCCUGCUCCCUGAGAGGCCCGUGUUAUUAACACAGUGAAACUUGUAGCACAAGUAAAUUCAAGUAACUAUUACCUGAAACACACCUUCAUGGAAUUGUAGGAACAGCAACCUGAAACAAAAGAAACUACCCUCCUGCUCCCUGAGAGGCCCGUGUUAUUAACACAGUGAAACUUGUAGCACAAGUAAAUUCAAGUAACUAUUACCUGAAACACACCUUCAUGGAAUUGUAGGAACAGCAACCUGAAACAAAAG